Molecule: ribosomal RNA, 1710 nt
Filed under: Pseudomonas aeruginosa 3575
Lineage: Bacteria; Pseudomonadati; Pseudomonadota; Gammaproteobacteria; Pseudomonadales; Pseudomonadaceae
Also listed under: 2 other names
Description: bacterial LSU rRNA
Rfam family: Bacterial large subunit ribosomal RNA
Source: RNAcentral
GCGUUCUGUAAGCCUGUGAAGGUGAGUUGAGAAGCUUGCUGGAGGUAUCAGAAGUGCGAAUGCUGACAUGAGUAACGACAAUGGGUGUGAAAAACACCCACGCCGAAAGACCAAGGGUUCCUGCGCAACGUUAAUCGACGCAGGGUUAGUCGGUUCCUAAGGCGAGGCUGAAAAGCGUAGUCGAUGGGAAACAGGUUAAUAUUCCUGUACUUCUGGUUACUGCGAUGGAGGGACGGAGAAGGCUAGGCCAGCUUGGCGUUGGUUGUCCAAGUUUAAGGUGGUAGGCUGAAAUCUUAGGUAAAUCCGGGGUUUCAAGGCCGAGAGCUGAUGACGAGUCGUCUUUUAGAUGACGAAGUGGUUGAUGCCAUGCUUCCAAGAAAAGCUUCUAAGCUUCAGGUAACCAGGAACCGUACCCCAAACCGACACAGGUGGUCGGGUAGAGAAUACCAAGGCGCUUGAGAGAACUCGGGUGAAGGAACUAGGCAAAAUGGCACCGUAACUUCGGGAGAAGGUGCGCCGGCUAGGGUGAAGGAUUUACUCCGUAAGCUCUGGCUGGUCGAAGAUACCAGGCCGCUGCGACUGUUUAUUAAAAACACAGCACUCUGCAAACACGAAAGUGGACGUAUAGGGUGUGACGCCUGCCCGGUGCCGGAAGGUUAAUUGAUGGGGUUAGCGCAAGCGAAGCUCUUGAUCGAAGCCCCGGUAAACGGCGGCCGUAACUAUAACGGUCCUAAGGUAGCGAAAUUCCUUGUCGGGUAAGUUCCGACCUGCACGAAUGGCGUAACGAUGGCGGCGCUGUCUCCACCCGAGACUCAGUGAAAUUGAAAUCGCUGUGAAGAUGCAGUGUAUCCGCGGCUAGACGGAAAGACCCCGUGAACCUUUACUGUAGCUUUGCACUGGACUUUGAGCCUGCUUGUGUAGGAUAGGUGGGAGGCUUUGAAGCGUGGACGCCAGUUCGCGUGGAGCCAUCCUUGAAAUACCACCCUGGCAUGCUUGAGGUUCUAACUCUGGUCCGUGAUCCGGAUCGAGGACAGUGUAUGGUGGGCAGUUUGACUGGGGCGGUCUCCUCCUAAAGAGUAACGGAGGAGUACGAAGGUGCGCUCAGACCGGUCGGAAAUCGGUCGCAGAGUAUAAAGGCAAAAGCGCGCUUGACUGCGAGACAGACACGUCGAGCAGGUACGAAAGUAGGUCUUAGUGAUCCGGUGGUUCUGUAUGGAAGGGCCAUCGCUCAACGGAUAAAAGGUACUCCGGGGAUAACAGGCUGAUACCGCCCAAGAGUUCAUAUCGACGGCGGUGUUUGGCACCUCGAUGUCGGCUCAUCACAUCCUGGGGCUGAAGCCGGUCCCAAGGGUAUGGCUGUUCGCCAUUUAAAGUGGUACGCGAGCUGGGUUUAGAACGUCGUGAGACAGUUCGGUCCCUAUCUGCCGUGGACGUUUGAGAUUUGAGAGGGGCUGCUCCUAGUACGAGAGGACCGGAGUGGACGAACCUCUGGUGUUCCGGUUGUCACGCCAGUGGCAUUGCCGGGUAGCUAUGUUCGGAAAAGAUAACCGCUGAAAGCAUCUAAGCGGGAAACUUGCCUCAAGAUGAGAUCUCACUGGGAACUUGAUUCCCCUGAAGGGCCGUCGAAGACUACGACGUUGAUAGGCUGGGUGUGUAAGCGUUGUGAGGCGUUGAGCUAACCAGUACUAAUUGCCCGUGAGGCUUGACCAU